RNAcentral lists this ribosomal RNA (503 nucleotides) under uncultured bacterium. RNAcentral's name for it is "bacterial SSU rRNA". It matches the Rfam family "Bacterial small subunit ribosomal RNA", at positions 29 to 507 of the family's 1533-position model. The record is from RNAcentral.
AACAAACGCUGGCGGCGUGCCUAACACAUGCAAGUCGUACGAGAAAGUCGGCUUCGGCCGAUGAGUACAGUGGCGCACGGGUGAGUAACGCGUGGGUAAUCUGCCCCCCGGUCAGGAAUAACCCGCCGAAAGGCGGGCUAAUACCCGAUAACACUGACGCUCUGCGGAGCGUCUUUCAAAGAAGGCCUCUGUUUACAAGCUUUCGCCGGAGGAUGAGCCCGCGUACCAUUAGCUAGUUGGCAGGGUAAUGGCCUACCAAGGCAACGAUGGUUAGCUGGUCUGAGAGGAUGGCCAGCCACACUGGAACUGAGACACGGUCCAGACUCCUACGGGAGGCAGCAGUGAGGAAUCUUGCGCAAUGGGGGAAACCCUGACGCAGCAACGCCGCGUGAGUGAGGAAGGCCUUCGGGUCGUAAAGCUCUGUCAGAUGGGAAGAAAUGGAUGGGGGCUAAUAUUGUCCAUCCUUGACGGUACCAUCAGAGGAAGCACCGGCUAACUCCGUG